UACGUAGGGUGCGAGCGUUAAUCGGAAUUACUGGGCGUAAAGCGUGCGCAGGCGGCGCGUUAAGACAGGUGUGAAAGCCCCGAGCUUAACUUGGGAAUUGCGCUUGUGACUGGCGGGCUGGAGUGUGGCAGAGGAGACUGGAAUUCCUGGUGUAGCAGUGAAAUGCGUAGAUAUCAGGAGGAACACCGAUGGCGAAGGCAGGUCUCUGGGCUGACACUGACGCUCAUGCACGAAAGCGUGGGGAGCAAACAGG
RNAcentral lists this ribosomal RNA (253 nucleotides) under uncultured bacterium. Its description in RNAcentral is "partial 16S ribosomal RNA". It matches the Rfam family "Bacterial small subunit ribosomal RNA", at positions 524 to 776 of the family's 1533-position model. The record is from RNAcentral.